Patiria miniata (bat star) is the source of this 731-nucleotide long non-coding RNA. RefSeq lists it as uncharacterized. The record is from RefSeq and is a predicted model, not a curated record. Lineage: Eukaryota; Metazoa; Echinodermata; Asteroidea; Valvatida; Asterinidae. The transcript is spliced from 4 exons.
CAUUGGGGACACGAACAUUUUUGCUACGUAUUCCGUACGUACGUAUAAUAAUACCUAUACAUACGUAACACGAAACAAAAAAAUCGCCAUGUCCCCGAUGUCCUUUUUGAGUCUUCGUAAUAAUGCGUGUAGCGAGGCCACAAUACAGAAGUGAUCUGAUUAUAGUGUAAGUUCCAGACAAACCUGUUGAUAUUCGUGUGACUGACUCUGGCAGAUAUUACGCAGCAUUUAUUCUGUAGGCCGUUGUGUGAGUGGAGGACUAUUUUGGCCAAGGUUGAUCAAAGAUGGCGUGUACGAUCCGGCACCUGCAGUUAAUGCUGGUAACGGUGAGCGUCAUAGUGACAUCAUCGGUUGUAUCCAGCCAAUUGACGAAUGAUGAGUCCAACGCAUACGAUGAGGCAUGCUUCGUCCCUCCGUCAAAUCGACCUGUUGACGUAGACAAGCUUUUCCUGAUAAACGUUUCUCUUCCAUCAUCCGUGACACAUGUGGAUUUGAGAUACUUGAGCUACCCUAACGGAUCGUGUGGACUCGACAUAUAUGUACUUGUGCCGAAUACUAACCUUUACAUCGAGUUCAAGGGACUAAUUGAAAGGGAAGCAGGGCAAUUUUUUAGCCACUGCAAUUACACCGACGACAUCAAGCCACAACAGUUCCAUGGCAAAAUAUUGUCACUGGGCCUAGGUAUGUAGCCAACAACAUACAAUACUAUAUCAAGAUUGUCAAAGUUCGUC